Molecule: long non-coding RNA, 999 nt
Organism: Impatiens glandulifera
Lineage: Eukaryota; Viridiplantae; Streptophyta; Magnoliopsida; Ericales; Balsaminaceae
Exons: 8
Source: RefSeq, a predicted model, not a curated record
UAGUGGAGCGUCGAAAAUUCUAUGGAAACCUAAAUAAUAUACAAACCGACCAGACCUUCACCAUACAUCGUGCUUCCUCUAUCACAACCGCUACUUUGAUUAUCGGGACUCCAUCUUCUUCUGAUUGUAGUAGAUCGGUCAAGUUUCCCUCACAUAUAUAUGAUUUAUGCUCUCACGUUCUGAUAAGUAGAGCCAUCACUGAUAGCAGAGCAAUUGGCUAAAGAUCUUGAAUUAUUCGCGCAUCAUGCUGGUCGUAAAUCUGUGAAUAUGGAAGAUGUCAUCCUUACUGAAACGUGUAGGCAUUGAGACCCGAGGCUUGAAGAAAUGUGAAUGUUGGCCAUCGUGUAAGGUGUUGAUGAACAUAAAUUAGGGUUUUAAGCUCUGCAAAGAUGGAGAAGAUCUCUGGUGGAAUUGAACAAGAGAAAACAAUGAUUUCUGGAGAAUCAUAUGAUAAACAUGACAUUGAAUAUUCAAUAUCACAGAAAGAAUUGCAAACUUUGUGGGCUAUUGGAAAACUUUUUGGACUAAUUCCUGACGGUUUCUAUUCAGUUCUUCCUGAGAACCGUUAGACCAAUAGCUGGAACAAUCGUUUGUGAAACUCCUCGAGAGACAGUUGUGAUAGAUCAGAAUAACCCAACUGAUCAGACGGGAGAAAGAUCUGAUUUGUCUGGUUUUGCUCCAUCCAUGGUAAUAGAGGCGGGACUGAUGGCUAGAACAGAUGACCGGAGUAACAGCAAGGUCAAGGAGGAGAUGGUGGAAAUGCUUCUGCUAAUCUUUAUUAAGCCUAUAUUCCAGAAGCUUAUCAAAGAAGAUUAUGGACAGUUUGCGGAAUUCAAGUUCUUCAUCUCAUAUGGAUUAUGAUAUUUCGAGGAGAGGAUGCUGAAAGUAAAAGUGAUAAAGGGACAAAUUUAGAAGUGAUAAAUAUGUUUUAAUUUUGAUGAAUUUGUUUAAGAUUUAAUUUGAAUUUAUUUUGUGAUAAAUGGAUUAUUGAUGAUACUA